GAGACACCCCUAUGGAGCAGCCUUGCUUCAGUGGAGCUUUGGUGCUCACUGAGUCUGCCCCUUGAGUGUGUCACC
This 75-nucleotide microRNA precursor is filed under the name Myotis brandtii (Brandt's bat). Its description in RNAcentral is "mir-9229 microRNA precursor family". It matches the Rfam family "mir-9229 microRNA precursor family". Lineage: Eukaryota; Metazoa; Chordata; Mammalia; Chiroptera; Vespertilionidae. The record is from Rfam by way of RNAcentral.